GACGAACGCUGGCGGCGUGCUUAACACAUGCAAGUCGAACGGAAAGGCCCUGCUUUUGUGGGGUGCUCGAGUGGCGAACGGGUGAGUAACACGUGAGUAACCUGCCCUUGACUUUGGGAUAACUUCAGGAAACUGGGGCUAAUACCGGAUAGGAGCUCCUGCUGCAUGGUGGGGGUUGGAAAGUUUCGGCGGUUGGGGCUGGACUCGCGGCUUAUCAGCUUGUUGGUGGGGUAGUGGCUUACCAAGGCUUUGACGGGUAGCCGGCCUGAGAGGGUGACCGGCCACAUUGGGACUGAGAUACGGCCCAGACUCCUACGGGAGGCAGCAGUGGGGAAUAGUGCACAAUGGGCGGAAGCCUGAUGCAGCAACGCCGCGUGCGGGAUGACGGCCUUCGGGUUGUAAACCGCCUUCGCCUGUGACGAAGCGUGAGUGACGGUAAUGGGUAAAGAAGCACCGGCUAACUACGUG
This 468-nucleotide ribosomal RNA is filed under the name uncultured bacterium. RNAcentral's name for it is "partial 16S ribosomal RNA". It matches the Rfam family "Bacterial small subunit ribosomal RNA", at positions 28 to 507 of the family's 1533-position model. The record is from RNAcentral.